RNAcentral lists this ribosomal RNA (256 nucleotides) under uncultured bacterium. Its description in RNAcentral is "partial 16S ribosomal RNA". It matches the Rfam family "Bacterial small subunit ribosomal RNA", at positions 524 to 776 of the family's 1533-position model. The record is from RNAcentral.
UACGUAGGGGGCGAGCGUUUGUCCGGAUUUAUUGGGCGUAAAGAGCGUGUAGGCGGCCAGGUAGGUCUGCUGUGAAAACUCCGGAGGCUCAACCUCGAGACGUCGGCGGAAACCAUCUGGCUAGAGUCCGGAAGAGGAGAGUGGAAUUCCUGGUGUAGCGGUGAAAUGCGCAGAUAUCAGGAAGAACACCCGUGGCGAAGGCGGCUCUCUGGGACGGUACUGACGCUGAGACGCGAAAGCGUGGGGAGCGAACAGG